This is a long non-coding RNA of Ooceraea biroi (clonal raider ant), 2836 nucleotides long. RefSeq lists it as uncharacterized. The record is from RefSeq and is a predicted model, not a curated record. Lineage: Eukaryota; Metazoa; Arthropoda; Insecta; Hymenoptera; Formicidae.
UUUUGUUAAUAAAGUAUGAUUUAUUACAUCUCUUUGGUCCUUCGCAUAAAGUUGACAUAUUAAAAAGACAAUAUUAAAAAGAAACUUAAGCGCCGUUUUCUCUCUUUGUUUCUAUUAUAACUGUAUAAAAAAAGGCUUUUUCUAAUAAAAAUUUUAAUAAUGAUGUAUUUGCUACAGUUAUAUUUAAUUAGUAGAGAGUUUUUGCAUUCCACUUGCGAGCACUGAUUCAACAGGCUAAAAGCGAAAUAAAAACGAUUACAUCGGUAUUUUCAACGAUACUUUUCCUCUAUGGCUCGCGAUCAAGAGCACGAUUAUCGCGCUACUCGCGCUCACUGUUUCUAAAUGUCACAUUUGUUUACCGAGUGACAGGGCCGAUCUUAUUAACUGCAGGAUUUUGGUUCAAUUAUUUUAGCGAUAAUCUUUGAAAUAGAUGACUAGUUGACAGAAAUGUACGCUAUUGGUAAUAUUAUGUCAUUUUUAUUUUAUUAAUAAAAAUGUAUUAUUAUGUAAUCAUAAAAAUUGCGCGCACACACAUUAUCAUCAUCAUAAUCAUUUAUAUACAAUCUAAUUAAACGGUCAACACUAUUGAAAAAUAUACAUAUCAUACAUAUCAUGAUAGUAAUUAUAUAUAAAUAAUGAUAAAUAUAUAAUAUAUAUAACGUAAUAUAAUGUAAUAUAUUUUGAUAUGAUCUUUUAAUUAAGUAUUUGAACAAUGUUUUUAAAAAUUUCAUUAUCAUAAACAUAUUAUUAUACGUCUCAAAUUAGCUGUACAUGUUUAAUGCAAAUUUCUCUACGAAGGGCGCGAGUUCGGUUCAAUGCAAAUUGAAUUUGAUGGUUUUAAAGACCCGGCCCUGCUUGUAGAAGAAAUCGAAUGCGAAUAUAGUGCCAGCGGCACUAAUCGUUUAUCGCUUAAGGAGACCGCACCUGUGCGACCGUGACAAGUACUUAACGAUCCCUCCUCUAAUGAUCGCAUCGCGCGAGAAAAUUAUGAAAAUCUUCAACGCGAACGUAGGGGACAUGAUCUGUGCGAGUAAAAGCAUUGAAGUCUCCACGCGAGAAUCGCACGACGGCUGACUCGCACAAUUGUCUUUAAUGCCAUUAUUUUUACCUUUGUAACGCGGUGUCUUAUUUGUUCAGUAUAAAGAUCGCAUACCAAGUAAAAUAAAAAUGAGACGCAAAGUGUAGGAUUAACGGUCAACGGGAAACAUAACCAUAAUCUAUCCAUUACGAAAUAUUAGUUAUUUAUUAUAUCAGGGUCUCUAUAAUAAAAAUAUCGUAUAAUUCAGAUAUAAACGGAGAAAUAUAGUAAUAUGAUAAUAUUCAAUUUUAAAUGCAUAACUUAACAUCUUUGACGAUGAUUAAAAUAAACUAAUCAAAAAAAAGGAAUCAAACGUGAAUUAAUGGGAUCAAUCUUUUUACUUUCAUUCAAAUAAUGCCUGUUGAACAAAUUGUGUAUUAACGCAAUGGUUCAAUACAAAUUGUUUGACUAAACGCAAUUAUUGAAUUCAUUAAAAAUUUAUUAAAAUAAUUUGUCCAAGCAAUUUAACAUUUAGUUAACAAAAAUUCGUUCGUCCUAAAUAAGGUUUUUUAUUAUAAUCUUAUUUUCUUUUUUAAUGCAAUAGUAGUUUAUAUUUAAAUAAUUCAGUUUUAAUGUAAUUUUGGUCACAUGUAUCUCCGACACUAUAUGUAGUCUAGCGUAUAUUAAUCUAACAUAAGAACAUGUUGCGAGCGAUUAAACUCAAUCUUGUUAGAUAUUUCUAGCCACGUUGAUAAGUGUGAUGGUAGAAAAUAUUUUUAAUGGUAUUACAUUUCAAGGGGUGUUCCUUAAGAGAAUACCAUUUCUCAAGAUAGAUGAAGUUUCGAAAUCUUCAUAAUUCCUAGGCAUUCUUCCGAAAUCUACGUUACGUCUACAUAACCACACAUAACUAUUUGAAUAAAUAAUUAUUAAUCGCGCCUUUAGGUACGUUUCUUUCACAUUUCGCAUGCAUGAAAUUUGUCUGAAAGUUUUUCAAAAUUCUUAACUCUAAACGAUACGCCUAAUGCCUUAGCAAAACUACAAACGAUCUCGCUCCGCCGUAUAAAGGUACGAGGAAAAAGAAACGAGCGUCAACGCGAUCGGGCCCCCUUACCUGCUCCGUCUUCUCAUCGAACCAACGCGAUGACUCCCUGACCAAUGGAGUACCGUCUGAGUGACAUCCUGAGCGAUCGGAACGGCACGCGCGCACGCGACUUUUUUCGUCGAGCAACGAUACGCGGAAACUGCGUUUCAGAAGCCCGCGACGACGCGAUGUCCCUCGCGAUCGCACGCGCGAUUCGACUUGCGCGCGUGCGCGAUAAAUCCCUCUCCUUCGCUUCUUAAUCGGCGCCCAGCUCCUAUCACCCUCCCCACGCAACUGAUCGAAUCCUUCUCACUUGCCCCCACGACUCAUGGCUCUUUCUCGUCUUUGCGACCAUCAUCGGUGCUCGAGAGAUCGGAGAUCGAGGCUUUCUCGGGGAAGCUGUCUGCGCGUACUGCAGGAUGCGUUAACACAUGGGAUACUAAGUGGAUGAAGGCGAAAGAGGACGCAAGAUGUACAAUGAUUCUCGUCUUUUCUUCGGUGUCGUCGUCUGUGAGAAAUUCUCUCUUGGGAUAAGGAAUGGGGCAUCCCGCGAAUAUGCUGAGAUUUCAUAUUAUGGAAAUAAAUAGAAUUUAGCGAAAUUGUUAGCAAACGAUUGGCUCCUCUUGAAAAUAGGCAUCCUGCAUAGAAUGCUCUGACGUGAUACGCUUGUUUGGAUCCAUCAUUAGUAGUUUUUGCAACUGAAAUGAUAAUAAUCACAUGAUAAGAAUCACAUUUGU